Molecule: ribosomal RNA, 503 nt
Filed under: uncultured bacterium
Lineage: Bacteria
Description: bacterial SSU rRNA
Rfam family: Bacterial small subunit ribosomal RNA
Source: RNAcentral
AUUGAACGCUGGCGGCAUGCCUUACACAUGCAAGUCGAACGGCAGCGCGGACUUCGGUCUGGCGGCGAGUGGCGAACGGGUGAGUAAUACAUCGGAACGUACCCUGUUGUGGGGGAUAACUAGUCGAAAGAUUAGCUAAUACCGCAUACGACCUGAGGGUGAAAGCGGGGGACCGAAAGGCCUCGCGCAGCAGGAGCGGCCGAUGUCUGAUUAGCUAGUUGGUGGGGUAAAGGCCCACCAAGGCGACGAUCAGUAGCUGGUCUGAGAGGACGAUCAGCCACACUGGGACUGAGACACGGCCCAGACUCCUACGGGAGGCAGCAGUGGGGAAUUUUGGACAAUGGGGGCAACCCUGAUCCAGCAAUGCCGCGUGUGUGAAGAAGGCCUUCGGGUUGUAAAGCACUUUUGUCCGGAAAGAAAUUGCUCUGGCUAAUACCUGGGGUAGAUGACGGUACCGGAAGAAUAAGCACCGGCUAACUACGUGCCAGCCGCCGCCGUAACAC